AUUGAACGCUGGCGGCAGGCCUAACACAUGCAAGUCGAACGAGUGGCGGACGGGUGAGUAAUGUCUGGGAAACUGCCUGAUGGAGGGGGAUAACUACUGGACACGGUAGCUAAUACCGCAUACCAUCGGAUGUGCCCAGAUUGGAUUUGCUAGGAGGUGGGGUAAAGGCUCACCUAGGGGACGAUCCCUAGCUGUUCUGAGAGGAUGACCAUCCACACUGGAACUGAGACACGGUCCAGACUCCGACGGGAGGCAGCAGUGGGGAAGAUUGAACAAUGGGCGCAAGCCUGAUGCAGCCAUGCCGCGUGUAUGAAGAAGGCCUUCGGGUUGUAAAGUACUUUCAGCGGGGAGGCGUUACCCGCAGAAGAAGCACCGGCUAACUCCGUGCCAGCAGCCGCGGUAAUAC
Molecule: ribosomal RNA, 406 nt
Filed under: uncultured bacterium
Lineage: Bacteria
Description: partial 16S ribosomal RNA
Rfam family: Bacterial small subunit ribosomal RNA
Source: RNAcentral